GGCCCAGUAGCGGAUGGUCCGCGCCUGGACUCAAUAAUCGGUACCACAUUAUAUCUUUGUAGGAGUCGCUCGUUCGAAUCGAGCCUGGGUCA
Non-coding RNA from Mycena vulgaris, 92 nucleotides. NCBI's taxonomy places the organism in Eukaryota, Fungi, Basidiomycota, Agaricomycetes, Agaricales, Mycenaceae. The record is from the annotation of a GenBank genome assembly.